Molecule: transfer RNA, 74 nt
Filed under: Klebsiella pneumoniae
Lineage: Bacteria; Pseudomonadati; Pseudomonadota; Gammaproteobacteria; Enterobacterales; Enterobacteriaceae
Description: tRNA-Arg
Rfam family: tRNA
About the family: Transfer RNA (tRNA) molecules are approximately 80 nucleotides in length. Their secondary structure includes four short double-helical elements and three loops (D, anti-codon, and T loops).
Source: RNAcentral
GCAUCCGUAGCUCAGCUGGAUAGAGUACUCGGCUACGAACCGAGCGGUCGGAGGUUCGACUUCUUUCUGAAUUA